RNAcentral lists this long non-coding RNA (1029 nucleotides) under Bemisia tabaci. RNAcentral's name for it is "lncRNA ENSSSA1UGG009700". The record is from RNAcentral. Lineage: Eukaryota; Metazoa; Arthropoda; Insecta; Hemiptera; Aleyrodidae.
AUGGCAGUGAUGCCCUUUGGCGAAAGUUUAUUUAGAAAAUUCCAUGAAACUGCAAGAGUUUCUAAGAACCUUAGUUUUGAAUUCGGGGUUCUUGGACUCAUUCUCGCUGCUCUCAUCGCUCUCGUCGAAGAUGACCGAGUCGUCGAUAUGGUGGUACUGCCGCUUGGUGCACGGCCACGACUGGAGCACCAGCUUGGAGUCGGGGCUCGCGUAGCGUUUCGGGGGCCCGGCCCCGUCCUGCGAGGCCGAGCGGAAGCCCAGACUCAGACUCGGCGCUAUCGCCUUCCUGUCUUCGUGGCCCUUCUCCGGCUCCGUCAUGGACAGCGACUCGUAGUCCGGCGAGGACCCCGACAGCUCCACCCUCCGCGUCUGGUCCGACUCGCAGUCGUCGUCGUCGAAAUCCUCAUGGAUCCGCAGGUGAUCCAUCUCGUCCUCCUCGCUCGAGCCGGGCACCGCCUUCUGCGCCUCCCGCCGGGACUUGUCCUCCAGGAACGAGGUCGACAGCGAGUACUUGCGGUUCGUGAAGUUGUUCUCGUUGCUCCCGAAGCCGUGCAUCUCCGGCUUGUCGCUCUCCUCCGAGAGGGUCCGCGUGAUCAGGAUCCGCGGGGAGUUGCGCUUGAGCUCCGGCUUGGACCCGAGGUCGUUGCCCAGAUGGAACUUGACGCCGAUUAUCCUCUGAAUGAGCAGGCUGCUCCCGUUCCCGUGUUUCCGGGUCUCCGGGGGCGCCACACUCGGGCUCGUCGAGUUCUCCGGGAAUGUGUUGAGCGGGAUUUGGAGAUUGUUGCAGCUGUGCGUUCGCAGCUUCUUCAGUUUCCCGCCGGCGGGAUCCGUUCUUUCGUCGGUGACGGAAGUCGUGUCGGACACGGCCACCGGGGACCACGUCGCUUCCGUCGACGAGAUCCGCGGGAUCUUGGACUUCCUCGAGAGGUUCUUCUGCGAGUAGGCCAGCUGGUUGUUGUGUAUCGUCACGGCCUUGCUGUUGUUGUUGUUGGCCGAGUUCAAGCAGAUUUCCGAGAGUCUUCGUUGUAG